This 334-nucleotide ribosomal RNA is filed under the name uncultured eukaryote. RNAcentral's name for it is "partial 18S ribosomal RNA". It matches the Rfam family "Eukaryotic small subunit ribosomal RNA", at positions 1470 to 1796 of the family's 1831-position model. The record is from RNAcentral.
CCCUUAGAUGUCCGGGGCCGCACGCGCGCUACACUGAAGGAAUCAGCGUGGCUUUCUCCCUGACCCGAAAGGGUUGGGAAACCCGUUGAAUCUCCUUCGUGAUAGGGAUUGGGGCUUGAAAUUGUUCCCCAUGAACGAGGAAUUCCCAGUAAGCGCGAGUCAUAAGCUCGCGUUGAUUACGUCCCUGCCCUUUGUACACACCGCCCGUCGCUACUACCGAUUGAACGGUUUAGUGAGGGCCUCGGAUUGGUCUCGGCCCGCUCUUUACCGGGCGGCGCCGUUGGUCGAGAAGACGCUCGAACUUGAUCGUUUAGAGGAAGUAAAAGGCGGAACA